Molecule: non-coding RNA, 910 nt
Organism: Dermacentor andersoni
Lineage: Eukaryota; Metazoa; Arthropoda; Arachnida; Ixodida; Ixodidae
Source: RefSeq, a predicted model, not a curated record
ACGCCACUCGAGGAGCGUUGACUCGAGCUUCCGUCAUCCGAUGAUACGAACGAUCACAUAGGAUACGAUUCUCGCCUCUCAUUCUUGCGCGCGCCGACCCCGCUGGUGCGCAACACUUUCCGCUGUACAUGCUCUGUACGAACAGACGAUACGAACAGCGAUUCAAAAGCAAGUUUCCCACCCUGUGCGCCUCAACCAGCUCCUGGUGCUCACAAACAAGCUCUGGGGAAACCCUAGCUUCGUCGAGAAAUGCGUCAACUCGGACGUAGCGGUCUUCAGAGGUUUAACUGAGCAGCUCGAGUCUGGCGUACUACUGGGAUACUUAGUGCAGAGGAAGAGGAACGUGCUCGCCGCAAAGUUCGAGCAGCUAGGCAAGCCCUCGUAAUUCUGGCCCUCAGCAUACACGAUGAGCGCCUGCUUGAAGGAAUCGAGAGAGUCAAAGAGCCGGUUGAGACGCACCGCUGCAAGGCCGAUGCCAUAGCCAGCUAGCUGCGGAAUGCUUCGUAACUUCGAUUCCCAGAGUGAGCGGGAUCUGCGCAAUUUUUACAGUGGAGCUGUUAGAACCUCGCUGGGUUUCUCUUGACGUCCGCAGUUUCGCCGAGCUGGGGGAGAGAGAUCUGAGAGAGAGCGAAAGCAGAGUAUAAAAAUUACGGCGUGGCUCUGCUAUCGCAAACACCAGAGACCAGCGGAGCUGGGGGAAGCCCAGCAAAAGAACCUUAUAGCAGUGCCAACCCAUUGUUCAGCGACUCUCGCCACAAUCCAUCACGCACGGUGACACCGCACUGACGAGAAGCAGAGAACGAGGCGACACGCCGAAAGUACCAUGCCAAGGGGGAGGAACCACUUUGUUUCACUCGUGUAAAGAAAGAUAUCUCAUUUAUUUGAAUAAAGAGUGAUACAAAUUGUUUCA